This 1778-nucleotide ribosomal RNA is filed under the name human gut metagenome. RNAcentral's name for it is "bacterial LSU rRNA". It matches the Rfam family "Bacterial large subunit ribosomal RNA", at positions 743 to 2535 of the family's 2925-position model. The record is from RNAcentral.
GGGUGAAGGUGAGGUAAAACUCACUGGAGGCCCGAACCAGGGCACGUUGAAAAGUGCUUGGAUGACUUGUGGGUAGCGGAGAAAUUCCAAACGAACUUGGAGAUAGCUGGUUCUCUCCGAAAUAGCUUUAGGGCUAGCGUCGAUGUUAAGUCUCUUGGAGGUAGAGCACUGUUUGGGUGAGGGGUCCAUCCCGGAUUACCAAUCUCAGAUAAACUCCGAAUGCCAACGAGAUAUAAUCGGCAGUCAGACUGCGAGUGCUAAGAUCCGUAGUCGAAAGGGAAACAGCCCAGACCACCAGCUAAGGUCCCAAAAUAUAUGUUAAGUGGAAAAGGAUGUGGGGUUGCACAGACAACUAGGAUGUUAGCUUAGAAGCAGCUAUUCAUUCAAAGAGUGCGUAAUAGCUCACUAGUCGAGUGACCCUGCGCCGAAAAUGUACCGGGGCUAAAACAUAUUACCGAAGCUGUGGAUACCUUUAUAGGUAUGGUAGGAGAGCGUUCUAUGUGCGAAGAAGGUGUACCGUGAGGAGUGCUGGAGCGCAUAGAAGUGAGAAUGCCGGUAUGAGUAGCGAAAGACAGGUGAGAAUCCUGUCCACCGUAAGACUAAGGUUUCCAGGGGAAGGCUCGUCCGCCCUGGGUUAGUCGGGACCUAAGGAGAGACCGAAAGGUGUAUCCGAUGGACAACAGGUUGAUAUUCCUGUACUAGAGUAUAUAGUGAUGGAGGGACGCAGUAGGCUAACUAAACCAGACGAUUGGAAGUGUCUGGCCAAGCAGUGAGGUGUGAUAUGAGUCAAAUGCUUAUAUCUAUAACAUUGAGCUGUGAUGGGGAGCGAAAUUUAGUAGCGAAGUUAGUGAUGUCACACUGCCGAGAAAAGCUUCUAGCGUUAAUUAUACUCUACCCGUACCGCAAACCGACACAGGUAGUCGAGGCGAGUAGCCUCAGGUGAGCGAGAGAACUCUCGUUAAGGAACUCGGCAAAAUGGCCCCGUAACUUCGGGAGAAGGGGCGCUGACCUAUGGUCAGCCGCAGUGAAUAGGCCCAAGCAACUGUUUAUCAAAAACACAGCUCUCUGCUAAAUCGUAAGAUGAUGUAUAGGGGGUGACGCCUGCCCGGUGCUGGAAGGUUAAGAGGAGUGCUUAGCGAUAGCGAAGGUAUGAAUUGAAGCCCCAGUAAACGGCGGCCGUAACUAUAACGGUCCUAAGGUAGCGAAAUUCCUUGUCGGGUAAGUUCCGACCCGCACGAAAGGCGUAAUGAUUUGGGCACUGUCUCAACGAGAGACUCGGUGAAAUUUUAGUACCUGUGAAGAUGCAGGUUACCCGCGACAGGACGGAAAGACCCCAUGGAGCUUUACUGCAGUUUGAUAUUGAGUAUCUGUACCACAUGUACAGGAUAGGUAGGAGCCUAUGACCUCGGGACGUCAGUUUCGAGUGAGGCGUUGUUGGGAUACUACCCUUGUGUUAUGGCUACUCUAACCCAGAUAGGUUAUCCCUAUCGGAGACAGUGUCUGACGGGCAGUUUGACUGGGGCGGUCGCCUCCUAAAAGGUAACGGAGGCGCCCAAAGGUUCCCUCAGAAUGGUUGGAAAUCAUUCGCAGAGUGUAAAGGUAUAAGGGAGCUUGACUGCGAGAGCUACAACUCGAGCAGGGACGAAAGUCGGGCUUAGUGAUCCGGUGGUUCCGCAUGGAAGGGCCAUCGCUCAACGGAUAAAAGCUACCCUGGGGAUAACAGGCUUAUCUCCCCCAAGAGUUCACAUCGACGGGGAGGUUUGGCACCUCGAUGUCGG